GAAACGACUGCUAAGACUGGAUAGGAGAUAAGAAGGCAUCUUCUUAUUUUUAAAAGACCUAGCAAUAGGUAUGCUUAGGGAAGAGCUUGCGUCACAUUAGUUAGUGGGUGGGGUAAUGGCCUACCAAGACGAUGAUGUGUAGCCGGGCUGAGAGGUCGAACGGCCACAUUGGGACUGAGACACGGCCCAAACUCCUACGGGAGGCAGCAGUAAGGAAUUUUCGGCAAUGGAGGAAACUCUGACCGAGCAAUGCCGCGUGAACGAUGAAGUAUUUCGGUACGUAAAGUUCUUUUAUUAGGGAAGAAAAGACGGUGGAAAAACCAUUAUGACGGUACCUAAUGAAUAAGCCCCGGCUAACUAUGUGCCAGCAGCCGCGGUAAUACAUAGGGGGCAAGCGUUAUCCGGAAAUAUUGGGCGUAAAGGGUGCGUAGGCGGUUAAAUAAGUUUAUGGUCUAAGUGCAACGCUCAACGUUGUGAUGCUAUAAAAACUGUUUAGCUAGAGUUGGAUAGAGGCAAGUGGAAUUCCGUGUGUAGUGGUAAAAUGCGUAAAUAUACGGAGGAACACCAGAAGCGAAGGCGGCUUGCUGGGUCUUAACUGACGCUGAGGCACGAAAGCGUGGGGAGCAAACAGGAUUAGAUACCCUGGUAGUCCACGCCCUAAACGAUGAGUACUAAACGUUGGAUAAAACCAGUGUUGAAGUUAACACAUUAAGUACUCCGCCUGAGUAGUACGUACGCAAGUAUGAAACUUAAGGAAUUGACGGGACUCCGCACAAGCGGUGGAUCAUGUUGUUUAAUUCGAAGGUACCCGAAAAACCUCACCAGGUCUUGACAUGCUUUUGCAAAGCUAUAGAAAUACAGUGGAGGUUAUCAGAAGCACAGGUGGUGCAUGGUUGUCGUCAGCUCGUGUCGUGAGAUGUUGGGUUAAGUCCCGCAACGAGCGCAACCCUUGUUGUUAAUUGCCAUCAUUAAGUUGGGGACUUUAGCAAGACUGCCAAUGAUAAAUUGGAGGAAGGUGGGGACGACGUCAAAUCAUCAUGCCCCUUAUGACCUGGGCUACAAGCGUGAUACAAUGGCUGUUACAAAGGGUAGCUAAAGCGUAAGCUUCUGGCGAAUCUCAAAAAAGCAGUCUCAGUUCGGAUUGAAGUCUGCAACUCGACUUCAUGAAGUUGGAAUCGCUAGUAAUCGCGAAUCAGCAUGUCGCGGUGAAUACGUUCACGGGGUUUGUACACACCGCCCGUCA
This 1243-nucleotide ribosomal RNA is filed under the name Candidatus Phytoplasma solani. RNAcentral describes it as "bacterial SSU rRNA". It matches the Rfam family "Bacterial small subunit ribosomal RNA", at positions 153 to 1399 of the family's 1533-position model. The record is from RNAcentral. Lineage: Bacteria; Bacillati; Mycoplasmatota; Mollicutes; Acholeplasmatales; Acholeplasmataceae.